This 218-nucleotide ribosomal RNA is filed under the name Rhizophagus irregularis. The record is from RNAcentral. Lineage: Eukaryota; Fungi; Glomeromycota; Glomeromycetes; Glomerales; Glomeraceae.
CAGUCGUACCGGCGGAUAAUCAGCCUUUCGGGUGCGAUUCUGUGGGGCGUGAAGAGUUAAACGCCUUCAUGCCUGCAUAUUCGCGUACUUUUGGGUGUACUUGCCGGUGUGGUUAGUUAACAUCAAUUUUGGUUAUCAUAAAAUGGUUGGAGGAAUGUAGCUUCGAUCUCGUAUUGAAGUGUUAUAGCCUUCGGCAGAUGUGAUGAUCGAGAUUGAGG